CUGAGGACCAAGCUGAAGGACCAGACUGGACACCGUCCUCCUGUCAUGGGUAUUGCUAUGAAAGGCCUUUAGUGUUGACCCAAAACACCUCCAGGCUGUGUAAGGUCUAUUUGACCAAGAUGGGGAGUGACGGUGCAGCGUCAGAUGACCUGGCCUCCACAAUCACCCCCCGACCUCAACCCAACUGAGAUGGUUUGGAGGGUUAUGUAUUGUUCUGGGAAGACUUCUCUCUAGCCCAAACCCAGGGGAGGACGCCUCCUGGCAAUUACACCUCCCUCAGGAUGGGGCCACAUUGUCUUCUGACCACCACCCCCCAUGGCUUAAUUCCUAGUUCUUACGCUGCUACAGUUUAUGUACCGGAGGAGUAGCUGUCAGGCAACAUGGACCAUGCCUUGGGACUGCCUGGCCUGACAACUCCUAGAUGACCCUGCCCCUAGUCGCCAUCU
This is a long non-coding RNA of Esox lucius (northern pike), 446 nucleotides long. The record is from Ensembl. NCBI's taxonomy places the organism in Eukaryota, Metazoa, Chordata, Actinopteri, Esociformes, Esocidae.